Molecule: ribosomal RNA, 301 nt
Filed under: uncultured bacterium
Lineage: Bacteria
Description: partial 16S ribosomal RNA
Rfam family: Bacterial small subunit ribosomal RNA
Source: RNAcentral
CAGUAGCCGCGGGAAUACGUAGGGUGCGAGCGUUAAUCGGAAUUACUGGGCGUAAAGCGUGCGCAGGCGGUUAUAUAAGACAGAUGUGAAAUCCCCUGGCUCAACCUGGGACCUGCAUUUGUGACUGUAUAGCUAGAGUACGGUAGAGGGGGAUGGAAUUCCGCGUGUAGCGGUGAAAUGCGUAGAGAUCUGGGGGAAUACCGGUGGCGAAGGCGGCCCCCUGGGCCAAUACUGACGCUCAUGCACGAAAGCGUGGGGAGCAAAUGGGAUUAGAUACCCGGGUAGUCCCUGUCUCUUAUAC